AGAGUCAGAUCAUAAAUAUUUAUUUCCUAAGUGAAUGGACUAUUAGAAGCGGUUGCAUCUGCAUUUACCUUGGCCACCCUCCCCACUCUUUGUGCACUUGUGAGACAGAUUGCUUUUUGGAGGGGGACUUUAUUGGACCUUUCUUUUUGGCUCUCUGUCUACUUAAUUAAUAUAAACUCAAUUUAUUUUAAAAUGAAUGUAAUGGAUGUAACACAUCUAAUACUAAGUUUCAACAACGGAUCUCUUGGCUCUCGCAUCGAUGAAGAACGCAGCGAAAUGCGAUAAGUAAUGUGAAUUGCAGAAUUCAGUGAAUCAUCGAAUCUUUGAACGCACCUUGCGCUCCUUGGUAUUCCUUGGAGCAUGCCUGUUUGAGUAUCAUGAAAUCUUCAAAGUAAUAUCUUUUGUUAAUUCAAUUGGUUUUGCUUUGGUAUUGGAGGUCUAUUGCAGCUUCACACCUGCUCCUCUUUGUUCAUUAGCUGGAUCUCAGUGUUAUGCUUGGUUCCACUCAGCGUGAUAAGUUAUCUAUCGCUGAGGACACUUUUUCAUACUCUGUAAAAAGAGUUUGGGAGGGUGGCCAAGGUAAAUGCAGACGAACCGCUUCUAAUAGUCCAUUGACUUGGACAAUAAAUAUUUAUGAUCUGAUCUCAAAUC
This 651-nucleotide unclassified non-coding RNA is filed under the name Rhizoctonia solani. RNAcentral's name for it is "sequence contains 18S rRNA gene, ITS1, 5.8S rRNA gene, ITS2". The stretch from base 225 to 378 matches the Rfam family "5.8S ribosomal RNA". The record is from RNAcentral. Lineage: Eukaryota; Fungi; Basidiomycota; Agaricomycetes; Cantharellales; Ceratobasidiaceae.